Molecule: ribosomal RNA, 460 nt
Filed under: uncultured bacterium
Lineage: Bacteria
Description: partial 16S ribosomal RNA
Rfam family: Bacterial small subunit ribosomal RNA
Source: RNAcentral
CCUACGGGUGGCAGCAGUGAGGAAUAUUGGUCAAUGGACGAGAGUCUGAACCAGCCAAGUAGCGUGAGGGAUGACUGCCCUAUGGGUUGUAAACUUCUUUUAUAUGGGAAUAAAACGUUCCACGUGUGGGAUUUUGUAUGUACCAUAUGAAUAAGGAUAGGCUAAGUCCGUGCCAGCAGCCGCGGUAAUACGGAGGAUACGAGCGUUAUCCGGAUUUAUUGGGUUUAAAGGGAGCGUAGGUGGAUUGUUAAGUCAGUUGUGAAAGUUUGCGGCUCAACCGUAAAAUGGCAGUUGAAACUGGCAGUCUUGAGUACAGUAGAGGUGGGCGGAAUUCGCGGUGUAGCGGUGAAAUGCUUAGAUAUCACGAAGAACUCCGAUUGCGAAGGCAGUUCACUGGACUGCAACUGACACUGAGGCUCGAAAGUGUGGGUAUCAAACAGGAUUAGAUACCCCUGUAGUC